Molecule: ribosomal RNA, 491 nt
Filed under: uncultured bacterium
Lineage: Bacteria
Description: bacterial SSU rRNA
Rfam family: Bacterial small subunit ribosomal RNA
Source: RNAcentral
GAUGAACGCUAGCUACAGGCUUAACACAUGCAAGUCGCGGGGUAACAUCUGGUAGAGCUUGCUCUUCCAGGAUGACGACCGGCGCACGGGUGAGUAACGCGUAUCCAACCUGGCCCAUACCACGGGAUAGCCCGUCGAAAGGCGGAUUAAUACCGUAUGCUGUCAUUAAGAUGCAUAUAUUGAUGACGAAAGGACUGGCGGUAUGGGAUGGGGAUGCGUCUGAUUAGCUUGUUGGCGGGGUAACGGCCCACCAAGGCGACGAUCAGUAGGGGUUCUGAGAGGAAGGUCCCCCACAUUGGAACUGAGACACGGUCCAAACUCCUACGGGAGGCAGCAGUGAGGAAUAUUGGUCAAUGGGCGUAAGCCUGAACCAGCCAAGUAGCGUGAGGGAAGACUGCCCUACGGGUUGUAAACCUCUUUUGUUGGGAAUAAAGUGCGGGACNCGUCCCGCAUUGCAUGUACCAUUUGAAUAAGGACCGGCUAAUUCCGUG